Long non-coding RNA from Neopelma chrysocephalum (saffron-crested tyrant-manakin), 2443 nucleotides. RefSeq lists it as uncharacterized. The transcript is spliced from 6 exons. The record is from RefSeq and is a predicted model, not a curated record. NCBI's taxonomy places the organism in Eukaryota, Metazoa, Chordata, Aves, Passeriformes, Pipridae.
CAGGACACCACCCCCGAGCCCUGCUUGUCCUGGCAGAGGGGAGGAUGCUGUUUGCCUGAACGUCACCUUCAGUGUGCAGCAGCCACUUUGACAUGUCCUCUGACAUUCUGUGUGACAGAGCCCACUGGGGAAUUUGCAAGCCUGAAGAUUUGCCUCUUACAAGAUUCCUGCAGGAAACGCACAGAAGAACAAAGCUUUGGAUUAUGCCUGUGAUGGGAAAAGCUGCAGCGAUGACUGACUGCAAAGGCUGAUCCUUCUCACACCAAAUACCACUGCCUUGCCACCAGAUGGAGGCAACACGUUCAGUUGCAAACCCAAAGCCCAACCCAGCAGCUCCCAACAGGAGCUGCUCUGCCCUGGCACCUCUGGAGCCUCAGAUCCAGACUGAACUCCCAACUUCAGCUUCUCCACUUCAAACUCCUGGAAAGAUGUGAAGCCCUUGAGCUCUUGAAGGCUCUGAACCACUUGACCAUUCCUCUUCACUGGAUAAACCACUCCUGCUUGUUUAUCUUUCCUGCUUUUUCAUGCUCUGGACUAUCAAUAAGAAUUACUAAAAUAAUUCAAAGCUCAUCCCUGAGAGAAAAGCUGUAGCUGAAAGCCACCCCAGGGCUGGGCUGGGAUCACCCCCUGGCUCCAGGAGGGCAGGUAUUGAUGGAGGCACGGGGAAGUGUCAGUUUGAUGAGGAGAAUGAGGAGCCCUUUGGAAGAUUGGAAUAUUUUCCCAUUUGCUCCAGUCCUCUCUGCCUGGCCGUGGUGGCUGCCCCUCAGCCCCCCUGGGAAUGCUCUCCCCACACUCAGUGUACAUUGGCAGCCACCCUGCUUCCAACUCUGAGAACAUCCCACUCUGCUGCAGCAGGACUGGGAGAGUUUGGCUUUGUUUGUUUUCCUUCCCCCCCAGGAGGAGGCUGUUCCCGAAAAUGCUCCCAGUGAUUCUCACCUCAGGAUUGCUGCUUCAGUGAAAUGUACCCAGUUCUCUGGGAAAGGCUGGCUUUGAUGACUACUCAGGUUUGAAGGAAUUCUGGAAGAGAUUAUUGAACCAGGACUUUUCAACAUUCUCAUAAAGAAAGCUGUGUUUCUCAUUUGAAGGUGACUUUCUAAUUUGGAAUUGGAAUAGUAUUUUCUUUAGAUAGGAAAUAGUCCAAUUCUGAAAUAGCAAUGUUUUGUAUCUUUAUAUAUCUCUAUUAACCUGAUAUCAUUAUGGAAUGUAUAAUUUACAGUUAUUAUGGCAAAAAGAAAAUAUUUGAGAUAAUUCCUUUUAAAAUAAAAAUCUGUUGAGAGAAGUGAUUCAGAAAUUUCAAGAAGCCUUGAAUGUAAGAAAAUCUUUUCCCUUCUCUUUCAAGUACCAUUUGCUUGAAUGCCAUUUAAUGUUGGUUUUACAUUUGGCUGAAUUUCCUCUGUUUUAAAGACUUUUAAUUUGCAUUAAAAAAAAAAGCUUGGAAAUCCAUGUGGUGGCCACUGAGGACUUGCACUAUUGAAAAAUGUUGCUAGGAGCUGGAGAUCCAAGAAACCAAACACAAGAAAACUGCUCCUGGAAGUCCAGAAAUAGGAAGAAUGAGGAGAUCAGUGAGUUAGUAUUGCUGGGGCCUGGACAUUUGAUGUCAAGGGAUGUGGAGUAUGGAUAUCAGGGUUUAGGGACACUGGGGCAGAAAAGGCAGCCACCAGUGAUUAGAAGGAUAAUUGUACCAGGACAGAGAGAAAUAAAAACAAGUUUAUUGCUCGCAGUUUGUGUUGGUGCUGUAUUUCUAAGGGGACCAUGAGUAUGGGCUAACCCAGCAUGAGAUCAAACAGCAGUGCCUGCUCUAAUGUUUUUUUGCCCCCCCCAAAGACUGUUUAUUAGCAGUUUAUUUAAAAUAAUGAAAUAUGAGUUGUCAGUUUAUUCAGGCUAAAUUUUAACAUGGAUUUCUGUGCAAAGGCAGAAUCACUUCUGAGCUAAAAUCAUGUAUGAACUCUGCAACCCUUUGGCUUCUCUUUGUCAACUUUCCCAGAUUAAAAUGGUUUUGCUUUUAGGAAUGACCUCUCUCAUUUUCAGGUACUCUUUGAGAUCUGUUGCCAGGCCAUUGGUUCACUAGUGUGGGUUUCCUGACAAUGGUUAGGAAGCAAAGGACAGACCUUUAAAGAAAAGACACCCAUGCACACACCAGUUACCCACACUGCAGCUUUUAGGAAGGUUUUUGCACCAAGCCUGUUUUGACUUAUGUAGAUUUUUGCUCUAGAUUUUAGUCAGAAACUGAACUCAGUAAACUUGAGUCUGUCCUGAACUGUACAUCUGAAGGAACAGACUUGGAAUUUUGGUCUGCAGCUGAUACUUGUAGUUGUGUCCCCCAUAUCUCAAGACCAAAUAGCAGUUCAUAUGUGAACACCCUCUUAGCAGCAGAGAUUUAGCAUGAGCUUUUUUGCAAUAAACCCCCACUGCUUGGUUUAACAUGUUAUUUUUAAACUUGGAA